GCCCGAUUAGCUCAGCGGUUAGAGCGAGCGAUUGCAGAUCGCUAGGUCCAUCGUUCGGUGAGCUUCACAAAAACCCUUAUCAAAGCAUUUCACAUUAGCUAAUAUCGCCUAGAAUCGGUGAUCGGGCU
This 128-nucleotide transfer RNA is filed under the name Umbilicaria muhlenbergii. RNAcentral's name for it is "tRNA-Cys (GCA) (tRNA-Cys-GCA-1-1)". Lineage: Eukaryota; Fungi; Ascomycota; Lecanoromycetes; Umbilicariales; Umbilicariaceae. The record is from RNAcentral.